CUGAAUCACAUCUAUCAGAGGGAUGUGACUGAGUCGCAAAUAUCAGAGGGACACGAUUGAAUCACAUCUAUCAGAGGGACGUAACUGAAUCAUAUCAAUCAGAGGGACACGACUGAAUCACAUCUAUUAGAGGGACACGACUGAAUCACAUCUAUCAGAGGGACGCGACUAAAUCACAUCUAUCCAAGGGACGAGACUGAAUCACAUCUAUCCAAGGGACGCGACUGAAUCACAUCUAUCAGAGGGACACGACAGAAUCACAUCAAUCAGAGGGACACGACAGAAUCACAUCAAUCAGAGGGACACGACUGAAUCACAUCAAUCAGAGAGAAUUGACUGAAUCACAUCAAUCAGAGGGACACGACUGAAUCACAUCUAUCCGAGGGACACGACUGAAUCACAUCUAUCAGAGGGACACGAAUGAAUCACAUCUAUCAGAGGGACGCGACUAAAUCACAUCUAUGGAAGGGACGCGACUGAAUCACAUCUAUGGAAGGGACGCGACUGAAUCACAUCUAUCAGAGGGACACGACUGAAUCACAUCAAUCAGAGGGACACGACAGAAUCACAUCAAUCAGAGGGACACGACUGAAUAACAUCUAUCAGAGGGACACGAAUGAAUCACAUCAAUCAGAGAGAAUUGACUGAAUCACAUCAAUCAGAGGGACACGACUGAAUCACAUCUAUCCAAGGGACACGACUGAAUCACAUCUAUCAGAGGGACACGAAUGAAUCACAUCUAUCAGAGGGACGCGACUAAAUCACAUCUAUGGAAGGGACGCGACUGAAUCACAUCUAUGGAAGGGACGCGACUGAAUCACAUCUAUCAGAGGGACACGACUGAAUCACAUCUAUCAGAGGGACGUGACUGAAUCACAUCAAUCAGAGGGACACGACUGAAUAACAUCAAUCAGAGAGAAUUGACUGAAUCACAUCAAUCAGAGGGACACGACUGAAUCACAACUAUCAGAGGGACACGACUAAUUCACAUCUAUCAGAGGGACGCGACUGAAUCACAUCUAUCAGAGGGACGUGACUGAAUCACAUCAAUCAGAGGGACACAACUGAAUCACAACUAUCAGAGGGAUGCGACUGAAUCACAUCAAUCAGAGAGAAUUGACUGAAUCACAUCAAUCAGAGGGACACGACUGAAUCACAUCUAUCAGAGGGACACGACUGAAUCACAUCUAUCAGAGGGACACGACUGAAUGACAUCUAUCAGAGGGACGCGACUGAAUCACAUCUAUCCAAGGGACGCGACUGAAUCACAUCAAUCAGAGAGAAUUGACUGAAUCACAUCAAUCAGUGGGACACGACUGAAUCACAUCUAUUAGAGGACCAUGCCCAGGACUAUCUGGCCUGAUGACUCCUUGCUGUCCCCAGCCCACCUGGCCGUGCUGCUCCAGUUUCAACUGUUCUGCCUGCGGCUAUGGAACCUUGACCUGAUCACCGGACAUACUACCUUAUCUCUGACCUGCUCUCUCUCCACCGCACCUGCUGUCCCGAACUUUGAAUGAUCAGCUAUGAAAAGCCAGCUGACAUUUACUCCUGAGGUGCUGACCUGUUGCACCCUCUACAACCACUGUGAUUAUUGUUAUUUGACUCACCGUGAAGCAUGGAGGAGGAGGUGUGAUGGUGUGGGGGUGCUUUUCUGGUGACACUGUCUGUAAUGUAUUUAGAAUUCAAGGCACUCAACCAGCAUGGCUACCACAGCAUUCUGCAGCGAUACGCCAUCCCAUCUGGUUUGCACUUAGUGGGACUGUCAUUUGUUUUUCAACAGGACAAUGACCCAACUGUCACACCUGCUCACGCUCUUCCCUCCCUGGCGCUCGAGGGUGCCAGGCUGCCCUGCAUUACGCACUCCUGCCCCCAUCAUUUACGCACACCUGCCUUACCUCGUCAUGCGCAUCAGCAAUAUUGGACUCACCUGGACUCACCCAAUCACCUGUUUAUUACCUCCCCUAUAUUUGUCAUUUGCUCUGUUCCCCGCUGCUGCAUUGAUUGCUAUUUGUCUGUGUUACCUGUGUGCUGACGCUGUUCCUGUCUCAUUCUAUGUCCGUUCCCUGUUAAAUGUUUGACUCCCCGUACUUGCUUCUCCUCUCCAGCAUCAUCCCUUGACACCAACACACCUCCAAAAUGUGUAAGGGCUAUUUGACCAGGAAUGAGAGCGAUGGAGUGCUGCAUCAGAUGAACUGGCCUCCACAAUCACCCAACCUCAAACCAAUUGAGAUGGUUUGGGAUGAGUUGAACCGCAGAGUGAAGGAAAUACAGCCAACAAGUGCUCAGCAUAUGUGGGAACUCCUUCAAGACUGUUGGAAAAGCAUUCCUCAUGAAGCUGGUUGAGAGAAAGCCAAGAGUGUGCAAAGCUGUCAUUAAAGCAAAGGGUGGCUACUUUAAAGAAUCUAAAAUCUAAAAUAUAUUUUCAUUUGUUUUACACUUUUUUGGUUACUAUAUGAUUCCA
Molecule: long non-coding RNA, 2461 nt
Organism: Oncorhynchus tshawytscha (Chinook salmon)
Lineage: Eukaryota; Metazoa; Chordata; Actinopteri; Salmoniformes; Salmonidae
Source: Ensembl